This 253-nucleotide ribosomal RNA is filed under the name uncultured bacterium. Its description in RNAcentral is "partial 16S ribosomal RNA". It matches the Rfam family "Bacterial small subunit ribosomal RNA", at positions 524 to 776 of the family's 1533-position model. The record is from RNAcentral.
UACAGAGGGUGCGAGCGUUAAUCGGAAUUACUGGGCGUAAAGCGUGCGUAGACGGUUUUGUAAGUCGGAUGUGAAAUCCCCGGGCUCAACCUGGGAAUUGCAUUCGAGACUGCAAGGCUUGGGUGCGGAAGAGGGAAGCGGAAUUUCCGGUGUAGCGGUGAAAUGCGUAGAUAUCGGAAGGAACACCAGUGGCGAAAGCGGCUUCCUGGUCCAGCACCGACGUUCAGGCACGAAAGCGUGGGGAGCAAACAGG